This 253-nucleotide ribosomal RNA is filed under the name uncultured bacterium. RNAcentral's name for it is "partial 16S ribosomal RNA". It matches the Rfam family "Bacterial small subunit ribosomal RNA", at positions 524 to 776 of the family's 1533-position model. The record is from RNAcentral.
AACGUAGGAGACAAACGUUAUCCGGAGUUACUGGGCGUAAAGGGCGUGUAGGCGGUUUGUUAAGUCUGGCGUGAAAGCUCUCGGCUAAACCGGGAGAGGUCGUUGGAUACUGGCAAGCUAGAGGAUGGUAGAGGCGUGUGGAAUUCCGGGUGUAGUGGUGAAAUGCGUAGAGAUCCGGAGGAACACCAGUGGCGAAGGCGACACGCUGGGCCAUACCUGACGCUAAAGCGCGACAGCAUGGGGAGCAAACGGG